Poecile atricapillus (Black-capped chickadee) is the source of this 646-nucleotide long non-coding RNA. RefSeq lists it as uncharacterized. NCBI's taxonomy places the organism in Eukaryota, Metazoa, Chordata, Aves, Passeriformes, Paridae. The record is from RefSeq and is a predicted model, not a curated record. The transcript is spliced from 3 exons.
UCUCAUCCCCUCGCUCAGGAAGACCUCUGAUGGGAGAGCAGCUGCCAGGGAGAAGCUGAACGACACUGAAGAGGUGCAGGAGGCAGCUAAUGUGCGUUCGGGCAGCUGACCACCAGAUGGUCCUUCCUAUAAAAUUCUUUGUAGAGAACUGAAUAAUACUGGGUGUAUCACAGAGGCUUGCUGGGCUCCACAAACCCUGUGUGAGGGGAAAAACAGAAUGCUCAGUGCAGGAUCUGUGCCGCUACUGUGGUGCUUCAAAGGAAGCCAGAAAGCAAAACAGCUCAGUGGACGGAGGACUGUGUCAUUCUUGGUUUCUCCUCAGGUACUUUGGAUCCAACUCUGACUUCUCCAGAGCAUCUCACCACCUACACAAGAGUGGAAAAGCGCCAGUUUCCUCAUUGUAAGGUCUCUGCUGUCUGUAAAGCUUUAUUUCAGAUAGGAACACGUACCCUUGGAGAAAUUUCAGAGGCCAAGUUCCAGCUGUGGCAGUGUCCAAUCAAAAGGCUGCAAGAGCUUUUUUUUCCUCCCCCAGCCCGGGCCUGGAGAAGGAGACAACUGUCCCGAGGAUACAAGGUGCCUCAACUUCAUGGACGCUGGCAGCUACCUUGGCUAUGUGUUUUGGAGUAUUUACUACCGGUGGGUUGGU